RNAcentral lists this ribosomal RNA (497 nucleotides) under uncultured bacterium. RNAcentral describes it as "partial 16S ribosomal RNA". It matches the Rfam family "Bacterial small subunit ribosomal RNA", at positions 29 to 507 of the family's 1533-position model. The record is from RNAcentral.
UAUGAACGCUGGCGGCGUGCCUAAUACAUGCAAGUCGAGCGAACGGACGAGAAGCUUGCUUCUCUGAUGUUAGCGGCGGACGGGUGAGUAACACGUGGAUAACCUACCUAUAAGACUGGGAUAACUUCGGGAAACCGUAGCUAAUACCGGAUAAUAUUUUGAACCGCAUGGUUCAAAAGUGAAAGACGGUCUUGCUGUCACUUAUAGAUGGAUCCGCGCUGCAUUAGCUAGUUGGUAAGGUAACGGCUUACCAAGGCAACGAUGCAUAGCCGACCUGAGAGGGUGAUCGGCCACCCUGGAACUGAGACACGGUCCAGACUCCUACGGGAGGCAGCAGUAGGGAAUCUUCCGCAAUGGGCGAAAGCCUGACGGAGCAACGCCGCGUGAGUGAUGAAGGUCUUCGGAUCGUAAAACUCUGUUAUUAGGGAAGAACAUAUGUGUAAGUAACUGUGCACAUCCUGACGGUACCUAAUCAGAAAGCCACGGCUAACUACGUG